Toxorhynchites rutilus septentrionalis is the source of this 1530-nucleotide long non-coding RNA. RefSeq lists it as uncharacterized. The record is from RefSeq and is a predicted model, not a curated record. Lineage: Eukaryota; Metazoa; Arthropoda; Insecta; Diptera; Culicidae. The transcript has 4 exons.
UUUGACGAAAAGCAGCGAUUGCAAAGCAAUUCAUAACAAGUGUUUUUUUUUGUUGCAAAUAUUACAUGUUUUGCUAUUUUUUUAAAAUACGUUAAUAAUAUGUGAGAUAGAGAUGUUAGUGAACCAUUAACGUUAAAGGCUUUUCGGAAUUAGUACCCAGAAUGUGUUGUUUCUGUGCUGCUUUCUGAAUCUGGUCUUUAUACGACGGAAGGAAGGAAGGAAGCGCUACCACCUCCGCCCUCUUGCCUUGAGAAAGGCACUCGAUCCCUCGCCGUCCAGCUCGUCCAGCAACGAUGUUGUCCAAUCGGUGUCCACACAAAGAAUACAACUCUAUGGUUCAAUGAGUGGCACCCGGCACUAGUCCAACUCGAAUUAUGAAAACAUAUCACACAAAUUAUCAAUUCAUCGAAUCCCGAUGGCUAUGACCAUUUGGAAGAAAUGGCUUCGAUUCUUCGGAUAGGACCUGAACAGCAAUACCAAAAACAUGUACAUUUGCUCGCUUCACUUCAGUUCAGAUUGUGCGUGAUUGUUUCGAUGGCUUGGAAGAACAAUAUCGUCGAAAACAGAUACCCACAGCUGUUCCUACUGUCAGAAAGGCCAACGAUUCUCAUGCCUCGGGAAAUCAAAACCGAAAGGCUCGCCGAAAGGUCUUGAUUGACAUAAAGCAAGAGUUGAAUCUAUUAAAAAACAUCAGUAACAUCCGCAGAAUCAGUCCAGAUUUCUAAUGGGAGGAAACAUGACUAUCCCGAGAAAGAUAUUCGGUCAGAGGAAAUCGGAAGCAGCACCAUCAACAUCUCUAAUGAGAAACCUAGCGAUUCGGCCGGUUCUAAUAGCCUAAUUUAAGCACUGCGGCUAGAGGUAUCGGAGAACUACAGAAUGCUUCCGGAAGCUAAAAUCCGUAUUCCCGAAUCAAAAUUUCCCUUAGAUUUUGAUAAGAAAUAAAACCUAAUUCGAUUAUCUUUACACUGCAAUGAAUACAUAUAUACAUUAAGCUAAAAUACAGUAGAAAUAAAUUAAUUUAGACAAAUUUAUAAUACCGUCUUAGGGGCUGUCCACAUGCCACGUGGACAGAAAAAGCAUGAUUUUACACACCCCUUUCCCCCUUCUUGGACAUUCUUCAUACUUCUCCCCCUGUUGUCCACGUGGACAUUUCUCCAGUUUUUGGAAGAAAAUCAAGAGAAUCCUUCAUGUUUGGCUUAAAUUUAAAUUUAAAAAUUUUAAAUUUUGUUUCAAUUUUCUAUUACAUGUUUUCUUAAUAGAAAUGAUAGCGUUAUUAGUAACGAUUUGUUUUGAAUUCACCGAUGUUGAUAUCAUCCCGCUGUUCAAAUCGUCUAAAUGAUGUAAUUUAUUGCUAGUUUUGAAUCGUUCAACACACCCGAAUUGUCACUCAAACGAAUAUACGUUAUUUGUAUUGACUGCAUUAAAUUUUGUGCUUCGUUAAUGUGAAGGGAUAAUGACAAUGAAUUGGUGGAUUGAACACAAAUUGAAAAUACGAAUUGUUAAUUAAAAUAUGCUUCUCCAUAUCAAAUA